Molecule: microRNA, 20 nt
Filed under: Mus musculus (house mouse)
Lineage: Eukaryota; Metazoa; Chordata; Mammalia; Rodentia; Muridae
Description: mmu-miR-344h-5p
Gene: mmu-miR-344e-5p
Source: miRBase by way of RNAcentral
CAGGCUUCUGGCUAUAUUCC